CGUGGAGCAUGUGGUUUAAUUCGAAGCAACGCGCAGAACCUUACCACCUUUUGACAUGCCUGGACCGCCAGAGAGAUCUGGCUUUUCCCUUUUGGGGACGUAGGACACAGGUGCUGCAUGGCUGUCGUCAGCUCGUGUCGUGAGAUGUUGGGUUAAGUCCCGCAACGAGCGCAACCCCCGCCUUCAGUUGCCAACGGUUCGGCCGUGCACUCUGGAGGAACUGCCUGUGACAAGCAGGAGGAAGGUGGGGAUGACGUCAAGUCCUCAUGGCCCUUAUGGGCUGGGCUACACACGUGCUACAAUGGCGGUGACAGAGGGAUGCAAUACCGCGAGGUGGAGCAAAUCCCUAAAAGCCGUCUCAGUUCGGAUUGUUCUCUGCAACUCGAGAGCAUGAAGUUGGAAUCGCUAGUAAUCGCGGAUCAGCUCGCCGCGGUGAAUACGUUCCCGGGCCUU
This 453-nucleotide ribosomal RNA is filed under the name uncultured Alphaproteobacteria bacterium. Its description in RNAcentral is "bacterial SSU rRNA". It matches the Rfam family "Bacterial small subunit ribosomal RNA", at positions 931 to 1382 of the family's 1533-position model. The record is from RNAcentral. Lineage: Bacteria; Pseudomonadati; Pseudomonadota; Alphaproteobacteria.